AGUGAACGCUGGCGGUAGGCCUAACACAUGCAAGUCGAACGGCAGCACAGUAAGAGCUUGCUCUUACGGGUGGCGAGUGGCGGACGGGUGAGGAAUACAUCGGAAUCUACUUUUUCGUGGGGGAUAACGUAGGGAAACUUACGCUAAUACCGCAUACGACCUACGGGUGAAAGCAGGGGAUCUUCGGACCUUGGGCGAUUGAAUGAGCCGAUGUCGGAUUAGCUAGUUGGCGGGGUAAAGGCCCACCAAGGCGACGAUCCGUAGCUGGUGUGAGAGGAUGAUCAGCCACACUGGAACUGAGACACGGUCCAGACUCCUACGGGAGGCAGCAGUGGGGAAUAUUGGACAAUGGGCGCAAGCCUGAUCCAGCCAUACCGCGUGGGUGAAGAAGGCCUUCGGGUUGUAAAGCCCUUUUGUUGGGAAAGAAAAGCAGCAGGUUAAUACCCCGCUGUUCUGACGGUACCCAAAGAAUAAGCACCGGCUAACUUCGUG
This 492-nucleotide ribosomal RNA is filed under the name uncultured bacterium. Its description in RNAcentral is "partial 16S ribosomal RNA". It matches the Rfam family "Bacterial small subunit ribosomal RNA", at positions 29 to 507 of the family's 1533-position model. The record is from RNAcentral.